This 532-nucleotide ribosomal RNA is filed under the name Salmonella enterica. RNAcentral describes it as "bacterial SSU rRNA". It matches the Rfam family "Bacterial small subunit ribosomal RNA", at positions 1 to 522 of the family's 1533-position model. The record is from RNAcentral. Lineage: Bacteria; Pseudomonadati; Pseudomonadota; Gammaproteobacteria; Enterobacterales; Enterobacteriaceae.
AAAUUGAAGAGUUUGAUCAUGGCUCAGAUUGAACGCUGGCGGCAGGCCUAACACAUGCAAGUCGAACGGUAACAGGAAGCAGCUUGCUGCUUUGCUGACGAGUGGCGGACGGGUGAGUAAUGUCUGGGAAACUGCCUGAUGGAGGGGGAUAACUACUGGAAACGGUGGCUAAUACCGCAUAACGUCGCAAGACCAAAGAGGGGGACCUUCGGGCCUCUUGCCAUCAGAUGUGCCCAGAUGGGAUUAGCUUGUUGGUGAGGUAACGGCUCACCAAGGCGACGAUCCCUAGCUGGUCUGAGAGGAUGACCAGCCACACUGGAACUGAGACACGGUCCAGACUCCUACGGGAGGCAGCAGUGGGGAAUAUUGCACAAUGGGCGCAAGCCUGAUGCAGCCAUGCCGCGUGUAUGAAGAAGGCCUUCGGGUUGUAAAGUACUUUCAGCGGGGAGGAAGGUGUUGUGGUUAAUAACCGCAGCAAUUGACGUUACCCGCAGAAGAAGCACCGGCUAACUCCGUGCCAGCAGCCGCGGUA